AGCGUCACAAGUUGUAUCAUUAAUCCAUGUUUCUGUUAGAGCUAUCACUGUAAAGGAAUAAUUUAACGUCGCUAAAUAGUUUAGAAAGUUAUCGAACUUAUUUUUUAUGCUUCUUAUGUUUAGACUUAAUAUAGAAAACUGAUUCUCUAGAAUAUGCUCUCGUUUAAUUAAUUCAAUGAAAUCAGUAGUUAGAUAAUAAUUGUUUUCCACCGUUGUCUCAUGUUUAGUGCUUGUAUAAUAGUUGUGGUCUGGAUUUAGACUUCCUAACAUGUCACUGUCUAUGUUACGUUCGUUCCCUGCUGCAUGUUGAUUUUCAAAUGGGUUAAAAACCAAAUUUUCUAAAGUGUCACGAU
Molecule: non-coding RNA, 353 nt
Organism: Paramuricea clavata
Lineage: Eukaryota; Metazoa; Cnidaria; Anthozoa; Malacalcyonacea; Plexauridae
Source: the annotation of a GenBank genome assembly